GAUGAAGAACGUAGCGAAAUGCGAUAAGUAAUGUGAAUUGCAGAAUUCAGUGAAUCAUCGAAUCUUUGAACGCACAUUGCGCCCGCCAGUAUUCUGGCGGGCAUGCCUGUCUGAGCGUCAUUUCAACCCUCAUGCCCCUAGGGCGUGGUGUUGGGGAUCGGCCAAAGCCCGCGAGGGACGGCCGGCGCCUAAAUCUAGUGGCGGACCCGUCGUGGCCUCCUCUGCGAAGUAGUGAUAUUCCGCAUCGGAGAGCGAUGAGCCCCUGCCGUUAAACCCCCAACUUUCCAAGGUUGACCUCAGAUCAGGUAGGAAUACCCGCUGAACUUAAGCAUAUCAAUAAGCGGAGGA
This 348-nucleotide unclassified non-coding RNA is filed under the name soil metagenome. RNAcentral describes it as "partial contains 5.8S ribosomal RNA, internal transcribed spacer 2, and large subunit ribosomal RNA". The stretch from base 1 to 120 matches the Rfam family "5.8S ribosomal RNA", at positions 35 to 154 of the family's 154-position model. The record is from RNAcentral.